GUAUAAAAACAGAAACCUAUUUUCUGUAAAAAAAUUAAGAAAAACACAAAACCGAAAAUCAAAUCCUAGUCAAAAAAGACCGUUUUCUUUAGCACGACAUUUUUUUUCGAGUGUGUGCCUCGAGUGUCUGACUAUUAAAAAAACUAUAUAUACUCUAAUAUAUAUAGUAAGGAAAUCGGAAGGACAAAGGAGCGUGCAAGCGAGACGGCAAUACAUCCAACGAAGACAGAGCCAGCGAGCAAGCGAGAGAGAAAGAGCGAUUCAUUCGACGAAGACGACGAGAAAGUUGUUUUUUUUUUGUUUCCUGUGCAAUCAAUAUAUACAUCUAUUAUAUAGUCAGUCGGUGCUAUCUAGUCACCCCCUCACUCCCCUCACUCGCUUUUUUGCUGUAUGACAGUGCGAUUUUUCCCCAACAACCGGCACCUCAUUUUCCGAGCAUUUUCGUACCGAGGCACAUUGAGUGAAAUCGAGCGAGCAAUCGAACAGCCAUCAUUUAUCAGAGGAAUAAAAAAAGGUAUAGAUCACCGAAUUAAAAAAAGGGAGAUUUUUUAAAAACCUACUAAAAAACAGGAAGAGGAAUUAAACCAGAAAGGCGAUAAAUAUUAACAGAAAGCGAAGGCCGACAGAAGGAGAAGAGAAAACAAAAACCAAACACCACCAAAUAAAACCAACUACUAUUAAUUUAAAGGAAACAUUAACGAAUAAUCAUAUUCAAAAAACAAAAAACCGGUAUAUAUAUACAAGAGGAUAACACAACUAACUAUAUAUAUAUAUCUAUAUAUAUAUACAUAUACGAUAUAUGAAUGUAUAUUUGAAAACCAAAGCUAAGUUCCAAUAAAAGAAAUAAAACCGAAAAACCAGCGCAAAUUUAGUAAAGGUAUAAAAAUAGCAAGAAAA
Non-coding RNA from Drosophila bipectinata, 897 nucleotides. Lineage: Eukaryota; Metazoa; Arthropoda; Insecta; Diptera; Drosophilidae. The record is from RefSeq and is a predicted model, not a curated record.